GCUCAGUCAGUUAAGUGUCUGACUCUUGAUUUAAGCUCAGGUCAUGAUCUCACGGGUCGUGGGAUCGAGUCCCACAUUGGGCU
RNAcentral lists this transfer RNA (83 nucleotides) under Felis catus (domestic cat). It matches the Rfam family "tRNA". Rfam says of the family: Transfer RNA (tRNA) molecules are approximately 80 nucleotides in length. Their secondary structure includes four short double-helical elements and three loops (D, anti-codon, and T loops). Further hydrogen bonds mediate the characteristic L-shaped molecular structure. tRNAs have two regions of fundamental functional importance: the anti-codon, which is responsible for specific mRNA codon recognition, and the 3' end, to which the tRNAs corresponding amino acid is attached (by aminoacyl-tRNA synthetases). tRNAs cope with the degeneracy of the genetic code in two manners: having more than one tRNA (with a specific anti-codon) for a particular amino acid; and 'wobble' base-pairing, i.e. permitting non-standard base-pairing at the 3rd anti-codon position. Lineage: Eukaryota; Metazoa; Chordata; Mammalia; Carnivora; Felidae. RNAcentral also lists the same sequence under 2 other names. The record is from Rfam by way of RNAcentral.